AUUUUUAUAGUGUAAGUUUAACACAUUACAUUUUCAUUGUAAAACUGAAAUAUUUAUUUCUAAAAUUA
RNAcentral lists this transfer RNA (68 nucleotides) under Trapezia rufopunctata. RNAcentral's name for it is "tRNA-Glu". Lineage: Eukaryota; Metazoa; Arthropoda; Malacostraca; Decapoda; Trapeziidae. The record is from RNAcentral.